AAGAGAGAGACAUGCGCGCAUAUCAAUAAGCGGAGGAAAAGAAACUAACAAGGAUUCCCUUAGUAACGGCGAGUGAAGCGGGAAGAGCUCAAAUUUGAAAUCUUCAAGGUUUUACCUUGACGAAUUGUAGUUUAAAGAAGUGUUUUCUGCUGAAGUUUUGGUAAAAGUUCUUUGGAAUAGGACAUCAUAGAGGGUGAGAAUCCCGUAUUUGACCAUUAUUUUCAGCUUUGUGAUACACUUUCAAAGAGUCGGAUUGUUUGGGGAAUGCAGUCCAAAAUGGGUGGUAAAUUUCAUCUAAAGCUAAAUAUUGGCGAGAGACCGAUAGCGAACAAGUACCGUGAGGGAAAGAUGAAAAGAACUUUGAAAAGAGAGUUAAACAGUACGUGAAAUUGUCAAAAGGGAAGCGUUUGACACCAGUGUUGUUUUCUCGAAAAUCAAUUAAAAAUGGCUCGAUUUUGUAUUGUUGAGACCUUAAAAGCUCACUGUACAUUUUUCGUGUCUUUUUUAAUGCACUUUUCGUUUAACAAGUCAACAUCAGUUUCUUUUGUUGUAAAAGGGUCAUUGGAAGAUGGCUUUCUUUUCGGAGAAAGUGUUUAUAGCCUUUGGCCUCUGCAAUCGGAGAGACUGAGGUCUGCAGCGUAGACUCUUCGGGGUUAGAUACAUUUGUGCUAAGUUAUAGCUUUUUAUAGACAACUUGUUGACUAUGAUUAGUCAUUGUAGCUUACUCGCUUAUGCUAUUUUACCUACGCUUAGGAUGUUGAAGUCAUCGUAUCGCGC
This 777-nucleotide ribosomal RNA is filed under the name uncultured Neocallimastigales. RNAcentral's name for it is "partial large subunit ribosomal RNA". It matches the Rfam family "Eukaryotic large subunit ribosomal RNA", at positions 23 to 645 of the family's 3401-position model. The record is from RNAcentral. Lineage: Eukaryota; Fungi; Neocallimastigomycota; Neocallimastigomycetes; Neocallimastigales.